This 468-nucleotide ribosomal RNA is filed under the name Halobacillus trueperi. RNAcentral's name for it is "bacterial SSU rRNA". It matches the Rfam family "Bacterial small subunit ribosomal RNA", at positions 400 to 858 of the family's 1533-position model. Lineage: Bacteria; Bacillati; Bacillota; Bacilli; Caryophanales; Bacillaceae. The record is from RNAcentral.
CGUGAACGAUGAAGGUCUUCGGAUCGUAAAGUUCUGUUGUUAGGGAAGAACAAGUACCGUGCGAAUAGAGCGGUACCUUGACGGUACCUAACGAGGAAGCCCCGGCUAACUACGUGCCAGCAGCCGCGGUAAUACGUAGGGGGCAAGCGUUGUCCGGAAUUAUUGGGCGUAAAGCGCGCGCAGGCGGUUCCUUAAGUCUGAUGUGAAAGCCCACGGCUCAACCGUGGAGGGUCAUUGGAAACUGGGGAACUUGAGGACAGAAGAGGAGAGUGGAAUUCCACGUGUAGCGGUGAAAUGCGUAGAUAUGUGGAGGAACACCAGUGGCGAAGGCGACUCUCUGGUCUGUUUCUGACGCUGAGGUGCGAAAGCGUGGGUAGCAAACAGGAUUAGAUACCCUGGUAGUCCACGCCGUAAACGAUGAGUGCUAGGUGUUAGGGGGCUUCCACCCCUUAGUGCUGAAGUUAACGC